AACCACUUAAGCGUUGAAUGCAG
This 23-nucleotide non-coding RNA is filed under the name Cricetulus griseus (Chinese hamster). The record is from RNAcentral. Lineage: Eukaryota; Metazoa; Chordata; Mammalia; Rodentia; Cricetidae.